CAGGGACAAGGAAACCUCCAGCCCACAAGGCAAGCGGAAUCAGAGUGACUCAUGGACCUGUGUGGUGUAGGAACAGAUCAGCUUUGUUAAAGAAGAAGCCCAGGAUACUACAAAAAGUGAAGCCGCA
Molecule: long non-coding RNA, 127 nt
Filed under: Capra hircus (goat)
Lineage: Eukaryota; Metazoa; Chordata; Mammalia; Artiodactyla; Bovidae
Description: lncRNA (ENSCHIG00000004410.1)
Source: RNAcentral